This 481-nucleotide ribosomal RNA is filed under the name uncultured bacterium. RNAcentral describes it as "bacterial SSU rRNA". It matches the Rfam family "Bacterial small subunit ribosomal RNA", at positions 23 to 518 of the family's 1533-position model. The record is from RNAcentral.
CUCAGAACGAACGCUGGUGGCGUGUCUAUACAUGCAAGUCGAGCGAGGCAGCAAUGCCGAGCGGCGAACGGGUGAGUAACGCGUAAGCAAUCUGCCCCAUAUCAGGAAAUACCCGUGCCAACGCGCGGUUAAUGUCCAGGAGAGUGGCCUUCCGCAUGGAAGGUUGACUAGAGAUUUAUCGGUAUGGGAUGAGCUUGCGUCCGAUUAGCUAGUGGCGGGGCAACGGCCCACCAAGGCGACGAUCGGUAGCCGGCCUGAGAGGGUGAUCGGCCACAUUGGGACUGAGAUACGGCCCAGACUCCUACGGGAGGCAGCAGUAGGGAAUAUUGCACAAUGGGGGAAACCCUGAUGCAGCAACGCCACGUGUGGGAAGAAGCAUUUCGGUGUGUAAACCACUGUCAUGAGGGAAUAAGGCCCGCCUUCGGACGGGAUUGAAUGUACCUUGAGAGGAAGCACCGGCAAACUUCGUGCCAGCCGCCGC